CUUAUCAAGAGUGGCGGAGGAAUCUGGUCCUAUGAAGCCCGGCAACCUGUUUUCAAGGUGCUAAAUCCAGCGGUUUAUCCGAAAGAUGAGG
RNAcentral lists this non-coding RNA (91 nucleotides) under human gut metagenome. RNAcentral's name for it is "SAM riboswitch (S box leader)". It matches the Rfam family "SAM riboswitch aptamer (S box leader)". From Rfam's summary of the family: The SAM riboswitch is found upstream of a number of genes which code for proteins involved in methionine or cysteine biosynthesis in Gram-positive bacteria. The record is from RNAcentral.